AUGUAUCCAUAUGUGUGUUGUGGCGGAAGGGCAAUGUGGAGACGGUGUGCGUGUGAUACAGACAUAGAGAGGUGUGAAUCACACAAUUCAUCCCCAUCCAAGGUUAUACGGCGACCACUCUCGCUUGUGCUUCUUUGCACCCCAACAUGCACAACACCUCAAUCUUCAAAGAGGGCAUCGAGAAGAUCGAAUACGGCGACCACACCGCGCUAG
This 213-nucleotide ribosomal RNA is filed under the name Triticum aestivum (bread wheat). Its description in RNAcentral is "partial small subunit ribosomal RNA". Lineage: Eukaryota; Viridiplantae; Streptophyta; Magnoliopsida; Poales; Poaceae. The record is from RNAcentral.